Molecule: ribosomal RNA, 496 nt
Filed under: uncultured bacterium
Lineage: Bacteria
Description: partial 16S ribosomal RNA
Rfam family: Bacterial small subunit ribosomal RNA
Source: RNAcentral
GAUGAACGCUGGCGGCGUGCCUAAUACAUGCAAGUCGAGCGAACAGACGAGGAGCUUGCUCCUCUGACGUUAGCGGCGGACGGGUGAGUAACACGUGGAUAACCUACCUAUAAGACUGGGAUAACUUCGGGAAACCGGAGCUAAUACCGGAUAAUAUAUUGAACCGCAUGGUUCAAUAGUGAAAGACGGUUUUGCUGUCACUUAUAGAUGGAUCCGCGCCGCAUUAGCUAGUUGGUAGGUAACGGCUUACCAAGGCAACGAUGCGUAGCCGACCUGAGAGGAUGAUCGGCCACACUGGAACUGAGACACGGUCCAGACUCCUACGGGAGGCAGCAGUAGGGAAUCUUCCGCAAUGGGCGAAAGCCUGACGGAGCAACGCCGCGUGAGUGAUGAAGGUCUUCGGAUCGUAAAACUCUGUUAUUAGGGAAGAACAAAUGUGUAAGUAACUAUGCACGUCUUGACGGUACCUAAUCAGAAAGCCACGGCUAACUACGUG